RNAcentral lists this ribosomal RNA (467 nucleotides) under uncultured bacterium. Its description in RNAcentral is "partial 16S ribosomal RNA". It matches the Rfam family "Bacterial small subunit ribosomal RNA", at positions 29 to 507 of the family's 1533-position model. The record is from RNAcentral.
ACGAACGCUGGCGGCGUGCUUCACACAUGCCAGUCGAACGGAAAGGCCCUGCUUUUGUGGGGUGCUCGAGUGGCGAACGGGUGAGUAACACGUGAGUGACCUGCCCUUGACUUUGGGAUAACUUCAGGAAACUGGGGCUAAUACCGGAUAGGAGCUCCUGCUGCAUGGUGGGGGUUGGAAAGUUUCGGCGGUUGGGGAUGGACUCGCGGCUUAUCAGCUUGUUGGUGGGGUAGUGGCUUACCAAGGCUUUGACGGGUAGCCGGCCUGAGAGGGUGACCGGCCACAUUGGGACUGAGAUACGGCCCAGACUCCUACGGGAGGCAGCAGUGGGGAAUAUUGCACAAUGGGCGGAAGCCUGAUGCAGCAACGCCGCGUGCGGGAUGACGGCCUUCGGGUUGUAAACCGCUUUCGCCUGUGACGAAGCGUGAGUGACGGUAAUGGGUAAAGAAGCACCGGCUAACUACGUG